This 107-nucleotide small nucleolar RNA is filed under the name Helianthus annuus (common sunflower). RNAcentral's name for it is "sRNA HanXRQr2_Chr04g0158471". It matches the Rfam family "Plant small nucleolar RNA R71". From Rfam's summary of the family: R71 is a member of the C/D box family of snoRNAs containing the C (UGAUGA) and D (CUGA) box motifs. Multiple nearly identical copies of this snoRNA have been identified in Arabidopsis, and it is thought to function as a 2'-O-ribose methylation guide for 18S ribosomal RNA. The record is from Rfam by way of RNAcentral. Lineage: Eukaryota; Viridiplantae; Streptophyta; Magnoliopsida; Asterales; Asteraceae.
AGAUCGUGAUGUGGGCAUUUCCUUAAUAACUCCUUGAACUUUUCCCAUGUCUCGUACAAAGAUUCCCCGUACUCUUGAGAGUAUGAGUUAAUUUUAGCCAUGAGUUU